GACGAACGCUGGCGGCGUGCCUAACACAUGCAAGUCGAACGGAAAGGCCCUGCUUUUGUGGGGUGCUCGAGUGGCGAACGGGUGAGUAACACGUGAGUAACCUGCCCUUGACUUUGGGAUAACAUCAGGAAACUGGGGCUAAUACCGGAUAGGAGCUCCUGCUGCAUGGUGGGGGUUGGAAAGUUUCGGCGGUUGGGGAUGGACUCGCGGCUUAUCAGCUUGUUGGUGGGGUAGUGGCUUACCAAGGCUUUGACGGGUAGCCGGCCUGAGAGGGUGACCGGCCACAUUGGGACUGAGAUACGGACCAGACUCCUACGGGAGGCAGCAGUGGGGAAUAUUGCACAAUGGGCGGAAGCCUGAUGCAGCAGCGCCGCGUGCGGGAUGACGGCCUUCGGGUUGUAAACAGCUUUCGCCUGUGACGAAGCGUGAGUGACGGUAAUGGGUAAAGAAGCACCGGCUAACUACGUG
RNAcentral lists this ribosomal RNA (468 nucleotides) under uncultured bacterium. RNAcentral describes it as "partial 16S ribosomal RNA". It matches the Rfam family "Bacterial small subunit ribosomal RNA", at positions 28 to 507 of the family's 1533-position model. The record is from RNAcentral.